UACGUAGGGUGCGAGCGUUGUCCGGAAUUAUUGGGCGUAAAGAGCUCGUAGGCGGUCUGUCGCGUCGGUCGUGAAAACUUGGGGCUUAACCCUGAGCUUGCGGUCGAUACGGGCAUGACUGGAGUUCGGUAGGGGAGACUGGAAUUCCUGGUGUAGCGGUGAAAUGCGCAGAUAUCAGGAGGAACACCGGUGGCGAAGGCGGCCCACUGGUCCGGUACUGACGCUGAGGUGCGAAAGCGUGGGGAGCAAACAGG
This 254-nucleotide ribosomal RNA is filed under the name uncultured bacterium. RNAcentral describes it as "partial 16S ribosomal RNA". It matches the Rfam family "Bacterial small subunit ribosomal RNA", at positions 524 to 776 of the family's 1533-position model. The record is from RNAcentral.